This 570-nucleotide ribosomal RNA is filed under the name uncultured archaeon. RNAcentral's name for it is "bacterial SSU rRNA". It matches the Rfam family "Archaeal small subunit ribosomal RNA", at positions 309 to 879 of the family's 1478-position model. The record is from RNAcentral.
CACGAAUCCAGGCCCUACGGGGCGCAGCAGGCGCGAAAACUUUACAAUGCAGUCGAGUGCGAUAGGGGAUCAUUGAGUGCUCAUCAUAUUGGUGGGCUGUCCAUCCGCCUAAAAAGCGGAUGUUAGCAAGGGCCGGGCAAGACCGGUGCCAGCCGCCGCGGUAAUACCGGCGGCUCGAGUAGUGGCCGAUAUUAUUGAGUCUAAAGGGUCCGUAGCCGACUUUGCAAGUCUCUCGGGAAAUCCAACGGAUUAACCGUUGGUCGGCCGGGGGGUAAUACAUUGCUUGGGACUGGGAGAGGUAGGAGGUACUCAGGGGGUAGGAGUGAAAUCCUGUAAUCCUCUGGGGACCACCGGUGGCGAAGGCGUCCUGCCAGAACAGGUCCGACGGUGAGGGACGAAAGCUAGGGGCACGAACCGGAUUAGAUACCCGGGUAGUCCUAGCCGUAAACGAUGCUCGCUAGGUGUCGCAACAGUCGUGAAUUGUUGCGGUGCCGUAGGGAAGCCGUGAAGCGGGCCACUUGGGAAGUACGACCGCAAGGUUGAAACUUAAAGGAAUUGGCGGGGGAGCAC